CCUACGGGAGGCAGCAGUGAGGAAUAUUGGUCAAUGGACGAGAGUCUGAACCAGCCAAGUCGCGUGAAGGAUGACUGUCCUAUGGGUUGUAAACUUCUUUUAUAUGGGAGUAAAAUGUUCCACGUGUGGGAUUUUGUAUGUACCAUAUGAAUAAGGAUCGGCUAACUCCGUGCCAGCAGCCGCGGUAAUACGGAGGAUCCGAGCGUUAUCCGGAUUUAUUGGGUUUAAAGGGAGCGUAGGUGGAUUGUUAAGUCAGUUGUGAAAGUUUGCGGCUCAACCGUAAAAUUGCAGUUGAAACUGGCAGUCUUGAGUACAGUAGAGGUGAGCGGAAUGCGUGGUGUAGCGGUGAAAUGCUUAGAUAUCACGAAGAACUCCUAUUGCGAAGGCAGCUCACUGGACAGUAACUGACGUUGAGGCUCGAAAGCGUGGGGAGCAAACAGGAUUAGAUACCCGGGUAGUC
Molecule: ribosomal RNA, 460 nt
Filed under: uncultured bacterium
Lineage: Bacteria
Description: partial 16S ribosomal RNA
Rfam family: Bacterial small subunit ribosomal RNA
Source: RNAcentral